Molecule: ribosomal RNA, 377 nt
Filed under: uncultured eukaryote
Lineage: Eukaryota
Description: partial 18S ribosomal RNA
Rfam family: Eukaryotic small subunit ribosomal RNA
Source: RNAcentral
CAAUAGCGUAUAUUAAAGUUGUUGCAGUUAAAAAGCUCGUAGUUGGAUUUCGGGGCAGCCUGGCUGGUCCGCCGCAAGGCGAGUACUGGUCAGCCGCCCUUCCUCUCGAAAGCCCCGACUGCUCUUUAUUGCAGUGGUCGGGUAGUUCGGGACGUUUACUUUGAAAAAAUUAGAGUGUUCAAGGCAGGCCUACGCCUGAAUACAUUAGCAUGGAAUAAUGGAAGAGGACCUCGGUCCUAUUUUGUUGGUUUCCAGGACCGAAGUAAUGAUUAAGAGGGACAGUUGGGGUCAUUCGUAUUUAAUUGUCAGAGGUGAAAUUCUCGGAUUUAUGAAAGACGAACAACUGCGAAAGCAUUUGCCAAGGAUGUUUUCAUUAA